This 369-nucleotide ribosomal RNA is filed under the name uncultured bacterium. RNAcentral's name for it is "partial 16S ribosomal RNA". The record is from RNAcentral.
GCGUCGCCGGCCUCCUCGCGUCCCCUCCGGCUUUACGCCGUUUGNUCUCUGGCUCACGCCUUGGGGCCGGCUUCNGUCGUGUCCACGCCUCCCCACUGCACGUCGACACCGGUCCCGGACACGCCGCUUGCUGCUUCGCUGACCGACGUGGCGGACCGGGUGACGUACACUGUCUGGGACACACCUGGCCUGACUGGACGNGGGGACUACACCUACCUGGACACACCGGGUACGCUACACUACCCGCACUACACCGUUCGCACACGACCCAACACGACGGGGGACCCCUUCGGGGCCCCUCCUUUGGCCCCACUCCGGACUGUGCCCAACUGGGACUUCUUGUGGGGUCGGCUCCCUGUCUUUGUUUGU